RNAcentral lists this ribosomal RNA (253 nucleotides) under uncultured bacterium. RNAcentral's name for it is "partial 16S ribosomal RNA". It matches the Rfam family "Bacterial small subunit ribosomal RNA", at positions 524 to 776 of the family's 1533-position model. The record is from RNAcentral.
UACGAAGGGUGCAAGCGUUACUCGGAAUUACUGGGCGUAAAGGGUGCGUAGGUGGUUUGUUAAGUCUGCUGUGAAAUCCCCGGGCUCAACCUGGGAAUGGCAGUGGAUACUGGCAAGCUAGAGUGCGGUAGAGGGUAGUGGAAUUCCCGGUGUAGCAGUGGAAUGCGUAGAGAUCGGGAGGAACACCAGUGGCGAAGGCGGCUACCUGGACCAGCACUGACACUGAAGCACGAAAGCGUGGGGAGCAAACAGG